CGCGCAAGUCAGGAAGGACGGAGGCGGUGUCGGCUGCCGCCACUCCGAACCCCCCAGGAGGCGGGGUUAAGCGUUCAGGGGCGGGGCUUAGAACACAGAGCGGGGCGGAGCCUUGGUUGAGUCACGCUGCCAGCCACCUCUGCCGGACCCUCUAUGCUCCGUCCUCGGUGGAUCUGCACAGCCCUGCUGCCUGGGGACUCUUAGAGCGCAGGCCCGGAUAAGUACUCUGAUCAACUCUUCUAGUCCCAGUUACCCAAAAGGAUCCCUUGCUGUCGCAUCUUCUAGCCAACUGGGGCUCUUCAGAGCGGUGGCCUGACCCUGUUGGGAUCUGAUUACUCAGUUAACUCAGACCAGCUUGUCUAGACUCCAUGAAGCCUGCCUCUUCCUGGACUCUCUGCUUCCCCGUGGCACUGCAGUACAAUAGCAUGGAAGCUGCUGCUGAUUUUCCUCAUGAAGAGAGAAAGAGGGAGGGGUGACCAGAAUUCCCAGAAAGCAACUGCAAGGCUUCCGCAAGGCUGAUUGACUGAUGAAAGAAGGCCUGAAAUGUCUAUGCUAAUAGCUUGUGAUCCCAUUGGAGUUCCUAUUGGCACUUGCAAUAGGAAAGAAUGACACAAUACUCAAAUUUGUGUAAUCUUCUGAAGAAAACAGAAGUUAUCUCCUGUGCUGGAGGGUUGAACCCAGAGCUUUGGACAUGCCAAGCAAAUGCUCUACCACUGGACUGCAUUCCCAGAGCCAAAGCAAUGGUCUGCUCUGUCCCCUUUAAGAGACAAGCCAUACCUACUACCUCCCCUGUCUGCUGAGACAGGCUGAUCUUCAGCUUCCAGCCUGAGCCCCUUC
Long non-coding RNA from Myodes glareolus (Bank vole), 837 nucleotides. RefSeq lists it as uncharacterized. The record is from RefSeq and is a predicted model, not a curated record. Lineage: Eukaryota; Metazoa; Chordata; Mammalia; Rodentia; Cricetidae.